RNAcentral lists this RNase P RNA (320 nucleotides) under Ophiocordyceps unilateralis. Its description in RNAcentral is "Nuclear RNase P". It matches the Rfam family "Nuclear RNase P". From Rfam's summary of the family: Ribonuclease P (RNase P) is a ubiquitous endoribonuclease, found in archaea, bacteria and eukarya as well as chloroplasts and mitochondria. Lineage: Eukaryota; Fungi; Ascomycota; Sordariomycetes; Hypocreales; Ophiocordycipitaceae. The record is from Rfam by way of RNAcentral.
AGCAGAAAGUGCAUAUUGAAAUAUUGCAUGCGAGAAAUUCGGAGUAAUCUCUACCGCAGCCCGCGCUGUUUUUACCUCUUCGGGGGUGGAAUGGUGAGGGAUCUUUGCAACCGCAGUCGUUCGCUUGGAUGCGAAAGGACGGGUCUGCCCGUGAGGGUUCGGCGUCACUUGACGCCAGCAAUUUGGCAUCAGAAAUAUCAGGGCCCCGCUGGCUUCGUCCCGGGUUACCCUCUGGGAAGCCGUUGCGGAGAUUGUGUGUCGACACUUUAGUGCGAUGCGUGGCGUGGCGGGAGCCAUGAUUCGAUUCCGAUUACUCUGCU